GAAUGUGAGGGAGAUCUUGCAUCCAUCACCCGCUUGAUCACCAAGGUUGAUUUGGCUGAUCCAGCUGACUAGGUGGUGUCCACUUCCUGCCUCACUGGUUGGUGUGCAUCCCUCCUAAAGCUGCACAACUGGUGGAAGAGGAUGACCUUCUCUCAAUAGAUGGCUGAGGAUCACCAUUAGUUUGAGGCCAGUCUUCCUAGAAUAGACCCUGACAAAGAGGUGUCU
RNAcentral lists this small nuclear RNA (225 nucleotides) under Jaculus jaculus (lesser Egyptian jerboa). RNAcentral describes it as "7SK RNA (ENSJJAG00000006544.1)". The stretch from base 1 to 190 matches the Rfam family "7SK RNA". Rfam says of the family: 7SK was discovered as an abundant small nuclear RNA in the mid-70s but a possible function has only recently been suggested. Two independent studies have found that 7SK RNA binds the CDK9/cyclin T complex (known as elongation factor P-TEFb). P-TEFb activates transcription by phosphorylating the C-terminal domain of RNA polymerase II. Lineage: Eukaryota; Metazoa; Chordata; Mammalia; Rodentia; Dipodidae. The record is from RNAcentral.